RNAcentral lists this transfer RNA (162 nucleotides) under Candidatus Woesearchaeota archaeon. RNAcentral's name for it is "tRNA-Ile". It matches the Rfam family "tRNA". Rfam says of the family: Transfer RNA (tRNA) molecules are approximately 80 nucleotides in length. Their secondary structure includes four short double-helical elements and three loops (D, anti-codon, and T loops). Lineage: Archaea; Nanobdellati; Candidatus Woesearchaeota. The record is from RNAcentral.
GGCGUGGUACUCCUUAACCGGUAAAGGAGCCUGGCUGAUAACCAGGUGGGUUUCCCAACCCUCGCGUGUCAGAAUCGCACAGCGAUUCUGAGCAUGAUCAGAAACCGAUAGUAGAUAAUAAAAAAACUCGGUUUCUGACAGGUUCGAAUCCCGUCCACGCCG